This is a non-coding RNA of Linepithema humile (Argentine ant), 244 nucleotides long. The record is from RefSeq and is a predicted model, not a curated record. Lineage: Eukaryota; Metazoa; Arthropoda; Insecta; Hymenoptera; Formicidae.
UACACUAGCUCCUUUCUCUAUCUAAUCUUUUUUAGGUUCCAAUGGAGAGUGAGACAGCUUCUUUAUAAUUUCUUACGCUCUUUAUAUUGUGCUUUUAAUCAUGCGACGAAUGAAUAUUAGCAUGAAAUGCGGUAAUUGGUGUAUGGAGUGGAAUUUAUUUGCGAAGAGCUUUAAAUAAACGCAGGAAACAUCAAUUUGUAUUGCGUCACAAUAAGUAAAAAAAAAAAAAAAAAAAAAAAAAAAA